GGGUGGGUCCGGCGCGGCAGAAACUUCCGAACCCCGCCAGGUCCGAGAGGAAGCAACGGUAAGGAAGACCUUCUGGGUGCCGUCGGGUUGCCUGCCCGGA
Molecule: signal recognition particle RNA, 100 nt
Filed under: Chloroflexota bacterium
Lineage: Bacteria; Bacillati; Chloroflexota
Description: signal recognition particle sRNA small type
Rfam family: Bacterial small signal recognition particle RNA
About the family: The signal recognition particle (SRP) is a universally conserved ribonucleoprotein involved in the co-translational targeting of proteins to membranes. Archaeal SRP consists of a 7S RNA and homologues of the eukaryotic SRP19 and SRP54 proteins.
Source: RNAcentral